This 72-nucleotide transfer RNA is filed under the name Camelus bactrianus (Bactrian camel). It matches the Rfam family "tRNA". Rfam says of the family: Transfer RNA (tRNA) molecules are approximately 80 nucleotides in length. Their secondary structure includes four short double-helical elements and three loops (D, anti-codon, and T loops). The record is from Rfam by way of RNAcentral. RNAcentral also lists the same sequence under 2 other names. Lineage: Eukaryota; Metazoa; Chordata; Mammalia; Artiodactyla; Camelidae.
GAGGGAAUAGCUCAGUGUAAGAGCACAUGCUUAGCAUGCAAGAGGUCCUGGGUUCAAUCCCCAGUACCUCCU